Molecule: ribosomal RNA, 492 nt
Filed under: uncultured bacterium
Lineage: Bacteria
Description: partial 16S ribosomal RNA
Rfam family: Bacterial small subunit ribosomal RNA
Source: RNAcentral
GAUGAACGCUGGCGGUGUGCCUAACACAUGCAAGUCGAGCGGCCGGACGAUGAGCGUUUUCCUUUGCCGUUGGCGACGGGCGGGCGAGUGAGGCGUAGAUCACCUUCUUCUUAUUCGGGGAUGACUUCGUGGAGAAACAUAUGCUAAUGGCUCAUAUAUCGUACCGCUUGGAUCAGUAGAUCUUGAGAGCUUUCGUGUCUCUUAUAGAUGAUGCCGCAUUAGCUAGUUGGGGUGGUAAAGGCCCACCAAGCCGACGAUCCGUAGCUGGUCUGAGAGGAUGAUCAGCCACACUGGAACUGAGACACGGUCCAGACUCCUACGGGAGGCAGCAGUGGGGAAUAUUCGACAAUGGGCGCAAGCCUGAUCCAGCCAUACCGCGUGGGUGAAGAAGGCCUUCGGGUUGUAAAGCUCUUUUGUUGGGAAAGAAAAGCAGCAGGUUAAUACCCCGCUGUUCUGACGGUACCCAAAGAAUAAGCACCGGCUAACUUCGUG